ACCUGGCUCAGAGGUUAAAGCAUCUGCCUGCAAUGCGGGAGACCUGGGUUCGAUCCCUGGGU
Molecule: transfer RNA, 62 nt
Filed under: Odocoileus virginianus texanus
Lineage: Eukaryota; Metazoa; Chordata; Mammalia; Artiodactyla; Cervidae
Also listed under: 3 other names
Rfam family: tRNA
About the family: Transfer RNA (tRNA) molecules are approximately 80 nucleotides in length.
Source: Rfam by way of RNAcentral